Non-coding RNA from Anas platyrhynchos (mallard), 680 nucleotides. The record is from RefSeq and is a predicted model, not a curated record. NCBI's taxonomy places the organism in Eukaryota, Metazoa, Chordata, Aves, Anseriformes, Anatidae.
AGGUGGAGGCUAUGCUGGGCUAGAGGCAGAGUGGAAACCAGAUCUUCUUCCGACAAAGAGCAGCACAUAAAAGCAGCCAAGGGGCAUCAUGAGGACGUGGGCCAUCCAGGCAACAGCACCAGUCCGUGACGAUCUCUGAGCUGAAGCAUGUGAUAUGGACAGCACGGUCUUAAAGCAGUGGCUACAGCAAAAGGCCAAGACUGAUACUUUGGACCGAGAGAAAGCAGAACUUCACCUUACUGCCCUUGACCCAGCUUGCUUUGAGAGAAUGAAACCCAGAGCACCUCAGACACAUUUACAGAGGACCUCGAGACACAUUUACCUCGCCCUGCUGUUUCCCCAAACCCAGCCCUCCCACUUGGACUAGGAUCGCUGCCUACUUUUCUUUGUUCUCCCUGCAUCACAGAGAUGGCACAGAGAGGUCAGUUCUCUUUCCUAAAGCUGCCCAACCGUAGAAUCAACGAGAGAAUCCAAACCCAGUAUGGCAGCCUUUAUUACAAGACUCAGACCAGCAAAACAAAGCAGCCAGAGACCAUGGAGCAUGAAAAUAUACACCCAGUUCGUGUUUAAUUCUCUAACAGGUGAGACAGGACCGUCCACAGCAGGAAAGUUCUGACUUUCUCUUGUCUUUGAAAGAUCUGUGGGAAUAAUCAAAAUAUUGCAUUGCAAUUUCUUAAGAU